CCUUUGUACACACCGCCCGUCGCUACUACCGAUUGAAUGGCUUAGUGAGGUCUCCGGAUUGGCUUUGGGGAGCCGGCGACGGCACUCUAUUGCUGAGAAGCUGAUCAAACUUGGUCAUUUAGAGG
This 125-nucleotide ribosomal RNA is filed under the name Agaricales sp. Its description in RNAcentral is "partial small subunit ribosomal RNA". It matches the Rfam family "Eukaryotic small subunit ribosomal RNA", at positions 1657 to 1779 of the family's 1831-position model. Lineage: Eukaryota; Fungi; Basidiomycota; Agaricomycetes; Agaricales. The record is from RNAcentral.